Long non-coding RNA from Carcharodon carcharias (great white shark), 1571 nucleotides. RefSeq lists it as uncharacterized. The transcript has 3 exons. NCBI's taxonomy places the organism in Eukaryota, Metazoa, Chordata, Chondrichthyes, Lamniformes, Lamnidae. The record is from RefSeq and is a predicted model, not a curated record.
CUUAAGCUGCUCAGAGCGGGUGAGAGAUUGUCGAGUGGAGCAAACUAACAGAGUUAGUGGGUGUGUGAGGAGGAAUGGAGCCAGCGGAGUCGGCAGGGAGGCUUCAUAAAGACACAGUGCAGGCUGCAGACCCCAAAUAACAAGGUACCGGUCUUGUGUUUGCAGAGAACAGGCUGGAAAAGUCUGGAUUUCUCCCUUCGCCAGGCCCGGGGUAACGGCCGCCAUCUUUAUAGGGGGCAAUGUGCAGCAGGGCGCAUGCGCGGCCAUCCUGGUCCAGGUAGCAGGAGGAGAGAAUAUUGUGAAUUUCUAUCCUGGACUGACAGGGAUGGAUUUUGGAAACUCCUUUUACAGGGGGUUAGAAGGGGAGAAGUUACACUCAGCAAAAUCAAACCAAGAGAAAUGUUUGCCCUGACUGACAAUGAUGGAUUUUGGAAACUCCUUUUCCCUGAAGGGGAGGAUUUACAGACAGGAAGUCAAGACCAACAUCACAUUUAGAUCUGACAGAGUUACUCGAUUCAUCAGGACCUGGAUCAUCUUUUUCUAAUGCUCUGUAUAAACCAUUUCCCAAACAUGUCACUUCACUGUCAGCCCAGGAUAGAAAUUCAGGACCUGGAUAUUAUCGGCCUCUGAUUGUAAUCAUUUAGUUCCAGGUCAUUACCACUCUCUGUGUAAAAUUUCCACCUCACAUCCCCCCGACAGAUCUUGACCAAAAUCUUUCAUCUGUGUCCCGUAAUAAUUUUACAAUCAGUUAAUGGGAACAGCUUUUCGGCAUCUACCUGAUCUAAACCUAUCAUAAAUUUGUAUGUGUUUAUCAAAUCUCCCUCAAUCUCUUUUGCUCGAAGGAGAACCAAACCUUGUAGCUCAUAUCCCCCAUCCAUCGACCCAUUCUGGUAAACCCCCUCUGUACCCUCUCAAGGACCCUCACAUCCUUCAUAAUGUGUGGUGAUCACUGGUUUGCACAGACCCAGAUGUUCUGUGUCUGUGUGUGUGACAUCAUCACACAUCGACAAUUAUACGGUGACAUCACCCCACUCCCCAGGUAUUUCCACAACUGGGAGAUUUUGCUCUGACUCCAGUGCUUCUGAUAUCUUUCCAGCUGCAGGAUCCAGCAGGAUUUUUAAAAUUGAACUUGGAAAUUUUUUCACAGAUAGGAGCUUAUAUUGUAAAUCCCCAGUUGCCUGUGGAGAAGAUGAUGUUUGACCUUCUUGAACCGCUGCAGUCCGUGUGGUGAAGGUGCUCCCACAAUGCUGUUAGGGCAUGAGAAGGGGAGGAUUUGCAGUCGGGAAACUGAAACUAAACAUCACAUCAGGAUCUGACAGAAUUUCCCAGUCUAUCGUGAGCUGAAGAUCAUCGGAUUUCGAACAUGGAAGGAAAAAGCACCGUUCACACUGGGGAGAAGGCAUGGAAAUGUGGGGAUUGUAGGAAGGAAUUUAACUAUCCAUCUCAGCUGGAAACUCAUCGGCGCACUCACACUGGAGAGAGACCAUUCACCUGUGCCAUGUGUGGGAAGGGAUUCACUCAUGCAUCCAGCCUGCUAACACACCAGCGAGUUCACACAGGGGAGAGACCAU